UACAGAGGUCCCAAGCGUUAUUCGGAUUCACUGGGCGUAAAGGGUGCGUAGGCGGUCGGGUAAGUCUGACGUGAAAUCUUCAAGCUCAACUUGGAAACUGCGUCGGAUACUAUUCGGCUAGAGGAAUGGAGGGGAGACUGGAAUACUUGGUGUAGCAGUGAAAUGCGUAGAUAUCAAGUGGAACACCAGUGGCGAAGGCGAGUCUCUGGACAUUUCCUGACGCUGAGGCACGAAAGCCAGGGGAGCAAACGGG
RNAcentral lists this ribosomal RNA (253 nucleotides) under uncultured bacterium. RNAcentral's name for it is "partial 16S ribosomal RNA". It matches the Rfam family "Bacterial small subunit ribosomal RNA", at positions 524 to 776 of the family's 1533-position model. The record is from RNAcentral.